Molecule: ribosomal RNA, 468 nt
Filed under: uncultured bacterium
Lineage: Bacteria
Description: partial 16S ribosomal RNA
Rfam family: Bacterial small subunit ribosomal RNA
Source: RNAcentral
GACGAACGCUGGCGGCGUGCUUAACACAUGCAAGUCGAACGGAAAGGCCCUGCUUUUGUGGGGUGCUCGAUUGGCGAACGGGUGAGUAACACGUGAGUAACCUGCCCCUGACUUUGGGAUAACUUCAGGAAACUGGGGCUCAUACCGGAUAUGAUCUCCUGCUGCAUGGUGGGGGUUGGAAAGUUUCGGCGGUUGGGGAUGGACUCGCGGCUUAUCAGCUUGUUGGUGGGGUAGUGGCUUACCAAGGCUUUGACGGGUAGCCGGCCUGAGAGGGUGACCGGCGACAUUGGGACUGAGAUACGGACCAGACUCCUACGGGAGGCAGCGGUGGGGAAUAUUGCACAAUGGGCGGAAGCGUGAGGCAGCAACGCCGGGUGCGGGAUGACGGCUUUCGGGUGGUAAACAGCUUUCGCAUGUGACGAAGCGUGAGUGACGGUAAUGGGUAAAGAAGCAACGGCUAACUACGUG